This 418-nucleotide ribosomal RNA is filed under the name uncultured Galactomyces. RNAcentral's name for it is "partial 18S ribosomal RNA". The stretch from base 143 to 291 matches the Rfam family "5.8S ribosomal RNA". Lineage: Eukaryota; Fungi; Ascomycota; Dipodascomycetes; Dipodascales; Dipodascaceae. The record is from RNAcentral.
GUGAUUCUUGGUCAUUUAGAGGAAGUAAAAGUCGUAACAAGGUUUCCGUAGGUGAACCUGCGGAAGGAUCAUUAAGAAUUGAUAAUAUUUGUGAAAUUUACACAGCAAACAAUAAUCAUACAAUCAAAACAAAAAUAAUCAAAACUUUUAACUAUGGAUCUCUUGGUUCUCGUAUCGAUGAAGAACGCAGCGAAACGCGAUAUUUCUUGUGUAUUGCAGUAGUGAAUCAUCAGUUUUUGAACGCACAUUGCACUUUGGGGUAUCCCCCAUAGUAUACUUGUUUGAGCGUUGUUUCUCUCUUGGUAUUGCAUUGCUUUUCUAAUAUUUCGAAUCAUAUUCGUUUGAAAAACAACACUAUUCAACCUCAGAUCAAGUAGGAUUACCCGCUGGACUUAAGCAUAUCAAUAAGCGGAGGUUA